ACUCCAGGCCCCAAUGUGGGGGUUACCAAUCUGCCUCGGCGGGAUUCUCUUGC
RNAcentral lists this ribosomal RNA (53 nucleotides) under Trichoderma longibrachiatum. RNAcentral's name for it is "partial 18S ribosomal RNA". The record is from RNAcentral. Lineage: Eukaryota; Fungi; Ascomycota; Sordariomycetes; Hypocreales; Hypocreaceae.